AGUCCUGUAGCUCAGUGGUUAGAGUGCUCGCUUUUCAAGCGAGAGACCUAGGUUUGAUUCCCGGCAGGGCGA
Callorhinchus milii (elephant shark) is the source of this 72-nucleotide non-coding RNA. NCBI's taxonomy places the organism in Eukaryota, Metazoa, Chordata, Chondrichthyes, Chimaeriformes, Callorhinchidae. The record is from the annotation of a RefSeq genome assembly.